GUGGCGUUAGCUCAGUUGGAUAGAGCAGCGGUCUUCUAAACCGCAGGUCAGGGGUUCGAUUCCCUUACGCCGCA
This 74-nucleotide transfer RNA is filed under the name Hydrogenophaga sp. L76. RNAcentral describes it as "tRNA-Arg". It matches the Rfam family "tRNA". Rfam says of the family: Transfer RNA (tRNA) molecules are approximately 80 nucleotides in length. The record is from RNAcentral. Lineage: Bacteria; Pseudomonadati; Pseudomonadota; Betaproteobacteria; Burkholderiales; Comamonadaceae.